This 613-nucleotide ribosomal RNA is filed under the name uncultured Ascomycota. RNAcentral describes it as "LSU rRNA". It matches the Rfam family "Eukaryotic large subunit ribosomal RNA", at positions 619 to 1236 of the family's 3401-position model. Lineage: Eukaryota; Fungi; Ascomycota. The record is from RNAcentral.
UAGGAUGCUGGCGUAAUGGUUGUAAGCGGCCCGUCUUGAAACACGGACCAAGGAGUCUAACAUCUGUGCGAGUGUUUGGGUGUCAAACCCGUACGCGUAAUGAAAGUGAACGGAGGCGGGAACCCCUCGGGGUGCACCGUCGACCGAUCCUGAUGUCUUCGGAUGGAUUUGAGUAAGAGCAUAGCUGUUGGGACCCGAAAGAUGGUGAACUAUGCCUGAAUAGGGUGAAGCCAGAGGAAACUCUGGUGGAGGCUCGCAGCGGUUCUGACGUGCAAAUCGAUCGUCAAAUUUGGGCAUAGGGGCGAAAGACUAAUCGAACUAUCUAGUAGCUGGUUCCUGCCGAAGUUUCCCUCAGGAUAGCAGUAACGUUUUCAGUUUUAUGAGGUAAAGCGAAUGAUUAGAGGCCUGGGGGUUGAAACAACCUUCACCUAUUCUCAAACUUUAAAUAUGUAAGAAGUCCUUGUUGCUUAGUUGAACGUGGACAUUUGAAUGUAUCGUUACUAGUGGGCCAUUUUUGGUAAGCAGAACUGGCGAUGCGGGAUGAACCGAACGCGGAGUUAAGGUGCCGGAAUGCACGCUCAUCAGACACCACAAAAGGUGUUAGUUCAUCUAG